Molecule: transfer RNA, 67 nt
Filed under: Marmota monax (woodchuck)
Lineage: Eukaryota; Metazoa; Chordata; Mammalia; Rodentia; Sciuridae
Description: tRNA.Ala
Source: RNAcentral
GGUUGUGGCUCAGUGGUAGAGCACUUGCCUAGCAUGCCUGAAGCACUGGGUUCGAUCUCUGUCACCA